AAAAAAUAUGCAUUUCCUCAAGUUUUUCCCCCUUUUUGUCUUCCUUUAUUUUGGUCAAUACUAUUUAUAUGUCACUCAUGCUGCCACUUUUGACAUUACCAAUCGGUGCACCUACCCAGUCUGGGCCGCUGCCUCUCCUGGGGAGGCAGACAACUCGACUCGGGCCAAACUUGGAACCUUAAUGUGAACCCAGGAACAAUCCAGGCUAGCAUUUGGGGCUGAACCAAUUGUAACUUUGAUGGUAAUGGCCGAGGCAAAUGUGUCACGUCCCGAGACUACCCCCGAGACGCGGACACAGGACCUAGGACCACAAGUGAUCCCAAGCUAACCCUGCUGGCAUGAUCAUGAGCAUACUAAAGAUAAUAAACUGAAGCGGAAGCUAAAUCAUAAAUAAAAUAAAAGAUGGGGAAUACCCAUAUAUUAUAACUGAGAUAAAUGAAAACUGAUGAGUUUAAUACAAGGAAUAUAUUAACUCAAUGCUAAGCUGAAUCUAACUAUGUUUGAAAUAAGCCUCUAAACUGACUAGAAAUGUUGGGACAUGCCCUAACUAGAUCUAGCAAAACUGAAACUAAAAGACUGAAAGCGAUAAAGAUAAACAUGUCACUAGUUCUUGAAGAAUGAGAACUCACCACUGAUGCUGCUGAAUUGAAGAUCGAGAAUUGAUCUAAGCGUGAUCUGGAUGCUGAGAACCUGAACCUACAUCAUGAGAAGAUGUAGCGCACGUAUGCGUCAGUACUUAAAAGGUACUGAGCAUGCAGGAUAGAGUAAAGCUGAAAUAACAUCAUAACUGAACAAAGCAAAUAAGUAAUGACAUAAUCUGAGCAUGAUAUAAAUACUGAAUGCUGAGAUAACUGAAUGCAGUGACCAAUUUAUAACAUGCCGACUAAAUACUGAAUGAACUGUAAAUGUGGUCAAUGCAAUAGAGUCUGACUGAACUAUGGGAGCUACUAAUAACCGACAAUAAAACCACAUGAGCUAAAUGUGGAGUCCGAUGUAUACACCCCAUCGAGAGAACCCAAUAUACCCGGCCAAAGGUAUAGAGGCAUGACUGGCGUGAUCACUAACUGAUAUUUCCCACAGAGGGACUUACACCUACGUGGCUCGUAGUUCUGGGAUAUAUGGGUACGCUGAACCCUACUCCAACUCGGUAUUAUGCUACUCCCAAUGAAUUUAGUGGUUAACUAGUUAUGACUGAAUUUCUGUAAAUACUAGAUAGCUCAAAACUGAACAUGCAAACUGAGAAUGCAACAAUUAAUCUGAUAAUGAUGCAUUCAUAAACUGAGGUAUGUAUAACUGAAUACAUUAUGACUGAAAUGCUGAAUAGCUCAAAAUACUGACAUGUAGAUACUCAUACUUGAAAACUCCUUCUUAGAAAACAAUUCAAAAUCAUAUUAUACUAUGAUCAUUGAUGACUUGGGAAGUCAUACUGCAUAAACAUUGAUGGUAUAUCUAGAUACCAUAUUGUUCAUACAUUAAUGACCUACUCGAUUGUCAUACUAAUCAUGUUUGAGAAGCUCUUUCUCAAAACUCAUCUUAACUUUCUCAAAAACACAAUUUAAAACUCAAGUGUUGUCUUAAAAGAAGCUUCUCAAGAUGUACAACUCAAAAUAAGGUUUAUGUUGAAAUAUACUGAUAAUGUGGCGUUCAAAACUGGAGCAUGUAUAUCUGAAUAACUGAAAUAUCUGACCUAGCAUGUGUAAUUCAAGAACUAAAGAAAUACAUAGCUAGGGUUAUGGAAUUCAUGCAAUAAACUGAGCAAUAACAAGAUAAUCUGAUUUGGAACAUUUAAAUAACUAGUUUAUGAUGAUCUGUUGAAGUUCUAGAAACCUUAGGUCUGUUCAUAAUCAUGGAAUCAAGAAUCUGACUGAUUUCUAGGGACCUAAUGGGCGAAAGGAACCCACUAGUGAAAUCCCACAUACCUGGUGAUGAAUUCCACGGAGAAAUCUUUAAAUUUAGGGGUUGGAACUGAUGGAACCUUGUUGCAUUCUUGAACUAGGGUUCUUGACCUCUUUUCUCCUCUUAGCGUUCUAAUUCUUCUAAGUUUGAUUAAUGAUUUGACUUAGGUAAGUUCUAGUUAUGUUUCUAGGCUUAAACUGACUAAAACCUCAUGAUUUAGGGUCUAAACGACGUAUCUUAGGGGUUAAACGAAUAGCAAAAGACCAAAAGACCCCUGAAUUAAAUGUUGUCGGAGUGACUGACGGACGGGACUGACGGGCCGUCAUUCAAUCUACGGUCCGUAGAUUGAGAUUGUCGGUUAAGUCUGCCCGACAAUGCUUCACUAAAACGAGCAUAACUUUUUACUCGGAGGUCGGAUUUUAGCAAACUCGGUGGCGUUGGAAAGAGAAUUCAAUUAUCUAUCAUAUCAUAGGUCAUAGGACACAUAAUUCCUUUUGUGCUAAGAGUUAUGACCAUUUGAAGUUGACCACCCAACAAUUCUCCCCUAACUGACUGUUGACCCUCAUCUAAGGUCAGACCUACAGACCGUGGAUCGAACGACGGUCCGUGCUGGUCGACUGUAGUUUGUGUCAGAGGCUGGGUAAAAGAGUCUUGAUCCACGAACACAGACCACAGACCGUGGUCUGACCUACGACUAUGGGUCUGUCCGUGAGUCAAGACUUAGCCAAUUUUCUGAGCUGGGUUUUGGGAGGGGUUGCAGUGGUGAACCACGGACCACCAGCACGGGCCGUGGUCUGACCUACGGUCCGUGGAUGGCAACCGUGGGUUGCACCUGCAACUUCUCAAAAUUUGCAUUUUUGGUCUGUUUAGGAUACGGGGUGUUACAAAAUGCGAGACUGAAGAUUGUAAUGGGCUGCUAGAAUGUCAAGGGUAUGGUAAUCCACCCAACACUUUAGCCGAAUUUGCACUUAAUCAGCCCAAUAACUUACACUUCGUCGAUAUUUCUCUAGUCGCCUAUCGAAUUCAGCCCAAUCAAUGGUGGGGGUCGUAAUCUCUUAAGCAACACACCUAUUAACGACCAAUGUCCAAACGAAUUACGGACACCGGGUGGGUGUAAACCCCGUGCACGGUUUUCAAGACGAACGGAUUUUGUUGUACAAAUGGGCCAGGGUCAUGUGGUCCUACUGAUUUUUCAAAAUUUUUCAAACAAAGAUGCCCAAAUGCUUAUAGUUAUCCACAAGAUGAUCCAACAAGUUUGUUUACAUGUCCUGCUGGUACAAAUUACAAGGUUGUCUUCUGCCCUUGAAGGCUACAAAUUUGAAUUAGAACUAUGGUACUAAGAACUAUAUAUUAUAUUGAAUAAAAAAAGAGUGACAAAGAGGAGAGUGCUGGUGAGUUACGUUGUCUAGUUCAAGUUGUUGCAUUCAUCUGCAAUUGAUUUUAUGUAAUAAAGAAUAUAUAUAUAUAUAUAUAUAUAUAUAUAUGUUGAAUUAUUAAUAGAAUUAAGAUUCAGCUAGAGUUCGAACUCAAUAACUUUUGAUCCAUAUCUCUUGUAUUUGUCUUGAUUAAUCCAUUGGAUAUAUAAAUGCUAUUAAUUUAGAAUUCAGUAAUUUGAAAGAACUAAAAUCCAAAAUUCUUAAACUUUAACUUCUGGUUCUACAUCCAUCUAAUGAUGAAAUUAAUGAAAAAAAUGAAACGAUUGAGUUGUAUAAGAGAAUUGUCGGAUCACCAUUCAACUAAAGCAAACUUCCGACCAACAAGCGUUAUGGUGGAUUGAUAAGUACUCAUUCAUCCUUAAACAAGAGGUCUUGGGUUAGAGUCCCCUUGAGUACAGAGUCAUGCCUUUGCUAGGGAGUGCUUUACCCCUCAAUGUGAGACUUUUCGGUGCGAAUCCGAAUUACGGCCCAAAUUUGCAACUUGACACGAUCACAAGAUUCAAAGGCGUUAAGUUAUAUUACAACUUAAGAUCUAUAAUAAUAUUAUGUUAAUUGUUCGUAUUUCAUUCAUUACAAGAAUUAGACCCAAAUUUGCAACUUGACACGAUCACAAGAUUCAAAGGCGUUGAGUUAUAUUAAAACUUACAAUCCAUAUAUGAUCAUAUUAGGUUAACUGUUCGUAUUUCAUUCAUUUCAUCAGUAUUUUGUCAGGUGUACUUGUAAUUGUGAUUCAUUCCCUUUCCUUAUUUAUUUAAUAAUAGAGUUGACUAUCUUUCUGACAUCAAUUGUACAAGUUCAUGAAAAGGGCUGAAGUCUGGACGAGUGGAAUGAGGGAAAGCAACUUCAAAAUUCAUUUGUUGAGAAAAAUAUUACAUUAUUGAUAUUGGAUUGGAAUUACAAAGUAGUAAAUAACUUAUUACAAACAUUGUGUCGUGGCAAGUCAUUGCCUUGAAAGCGAUUUCGGCCCGACUCCGAUGCAAAUCGUUGUAGCCGGUCGCUCCCAAAGGUUCCACAGUUACUCUCAAAUACGUGUACUCCUGGCUGAAAGUUUGGAGGUUGCCCAAAAAAUAUUCAAAGAAUUAGCUAAGAAGAAAGAGGGAAAAAGUUUUUCUCUUCUUUUUGUUGGUAGUGUGGUGUAUCUAUUUUCACCAAAGUCACUUCUUAUAUAUGAUCGCAAGAGGAGUUGCAAAUAGGAGAGUUAUUUUUUUUUUAGAAACGGAUUGUCAAGGUUAAUGACAUUAAAGGCCAUUACAUCACUUUUGUUUUUGGAAUGGAGGUAUCUUCACCUUUGAAACGUAUUUUGGAUAUGUGUCUUUGCAUUAAACUUAAUUAAUAAAAUUAGAAUAAUUAACUCAACAAAAGAAGGCAAAAUUUAAAAAAUUUAUUCGUGCCAAAUACGUCUAUCUACUUGACCCGUAAGUUAAGCCAUCACUAAUUGAAAUUUUCUAAUCCAUUCUAAUUUUAUAAUUAUAUUUUUUUUAAAAAAAAAAACAUAUAUAAGAGUAUGUUUGUUUGUAAAAUUUAUUCCUUAGGUAAAACAGUGACAUAAAAAAUAUAAACAAACAGAAAUACAGAAUAGUAAGUACUGUUUCCAUGAUUCUGUUUAAUAAAAUUGAGGUAAUGGUAUUGCAAGUGGAAGAUGUUAAAGGCUCAUUUCGUGCAAGUGAUAAAAAAUAACUAAUUUUGAGAGUAAUUUUAAAAUAUAUUUAUUUCAUGUUCGAUUGGGAUAAAAUCAAAGCUGGGAUAACCUAGUUGAUUUAAUAUAUAUGUGUGUGUUCACAAAUGUAAGCGAAGGAUGUGAGAUUAUAUUCAAGUGAACACUAUUAUGUGUCACGACCCAAAAAUGGACGUGAUGACACUCGUCUUAUCCCACCAAGACAAGUCAGCCUAAAACUCAACCAUUACAAUAAAAUGCGGAAAUUUCCUAAUCAACUCAAAAAUAUCCCCAAAAUCUGGUUGUCACGUGUACAAGCCUCUAAAGUAUUACAAUUGAUUCAAAAGAAAAACACCAGUCUCAAAUGACCUUGUUUCUAGAAUAGAACAAAAUCAUAAAUAGGAGUAGGAAGGCCUACUGAGAUGAUAAACAACUACCUCACAAAUCUCCAAGAAGCCUCGGAAAAGAAGAGAAUGACAAGUAUCACAAAAUCCAGGCUCGUAACCUACAAAAAUUGUAGAAGCAAGGGGUGAGUACCAAACCACACGGUACUCAACAAGUAAACCUCUAAACACAAGCUAAGGGGAUAGAAUACGGGUACUCCUUGCACACCAACCGAACCUCCACAACUACAACCUGUAUAAAACCAGCCCAACCUAAUAGUUCAUAAUUCACAUAGCACACAACUCGACAACAACACUCUAACAAUCACAUAUUCUCAACAACAAGCUCAAUAUUCAUCAAUCAAAGUUCCACAGAAAGGCACUCAUAAGAUCAGUAAAACACAAUAUCAAGUUCACUAAUGAUAAAUAUGUGCAAUGCAAUUGAAUGCAAUGUCAAGUAUAGUGAUGCAUGUCUGACCUAAUGAUACACACCCGCUGUCUCUCAGUCCGGGACCCAUGGGGGACAUAUCUGUCCACGCAUCCAUCGCGGCGCGCGGUACGACCCUCGAUAAUAGUAAUCAUCACGGUGCGCGAUACGUCCCUCGAAAUAUAGUAUCCAUCGCGGCGCGUGAUACGUCCCUCGAAAUGGUACAUCCUCUUUAAUUUCUUAUUCUUUCUCAAUUCACAUAACAUUUGUCACAAUCAUGUCUCAGAACAAUGCAAAUGACAUGUUCACACAAAUAAUGAGGAAAUGACCAUUUUCAUAACAUUACACAAUUCACAACAACACAAUCAUGAUACAACAUCAACAAUGAUUCAACAAGCCUUUCAAACCAUUCUCAACACAUCACACACAAACAAUUAAUCACAUUGCCUUUUAUUACCCCUUUUUCAUCAUUAGAAUUAAUCAACAUGGACAAGUCAACCCAUCACCAAGUCCCAUUACUCCCCAACACAUACCACAAGGAAAUACACGAAUUCCAUACACUUAACAAGAGUUUAGAAAUCCACUUGCCUCAAAUAAUCGAACAAUCACUCCGAAACUUGUGCCUUCCCUUUUUGUUGAGCUUCCAAAUCAAUGCAAUCUAUUCAAGUACAUAUUCACAAUAAGAUUCUGAAACUAACAACACCCAUAUUACUAUAGAUUUAGCGUAGACCCAAAAGAUCACCUAAAUCUAUAAUCAAGUUCCUAAGUUUCAAGUUUAGGGUUAAGUUCCAAUUCUUUUCCAAUAUCAUAAAUAUAAUAAUAUUAAUUAAAAAGGAAGCCAACUGGUUCUGAACCAGUGGCGGCAACAUGCCAAUUCUCUUAAUACCUGCACCCAAACUAAUAACCUAUCCAUCCAAAGUAUAAAUUAAGCAUUUCCAAUUUCAAUUUAUUAUUCACUACGGAAAGAAUGAAUUGAAAUUAAUGCCAACCUCCAGAUCUUGUUCCCCCCAAAACUUCCAACCAAUAUAAUCCUUCCAAUUUCUAAUGAUUAAUUAAUCAUAUAUCAAUUAUUGUCAUAAUUAUCCAAUAUGAGUAUUAAAAGCUUAUGCAUUUACUGACGGACUACAAACAGCGAAAAAAAUAUAUAUAUGCCAUUCACAGAUUUUGUCAAAAUCUGACCCUUUCCCCCCUCAACUCCACGUUACCAUAAAUUAACAAUAACCAGUCAUCUGUGUAUCCAUAAAAUAAUAAGAAUUAAGGUUGUGAUUAUAUGAAAGAUUGCAAAAAUAUAUAAAAGAGAUGUGAUGAAUGUUUCAUAUAUUUAUCCCUCUGUUUAACACAUGUAUAUAUAGCAAAACUUAAAAUAAUAAACUACCCAACUAUCCUAUAUAUUAGCAACCUUAAACAACAUACUAGUCCUAUAUACUAGCUACCUUAAACAACAUAUCUGUAGUUACACGAAGUAAAAGUCGAAAGAAUCACAAACUACCCAACUAUCUCCUAAUUGUUAGUUACCUUAAAUAACAAACUACUAUUUACAUGGAAGUAAAAAUAAAAAUAAGGAAUCUGUAAUUUCCAAAUGGCAAAACAAAACUAAAACUUAAAAAAAAGAAAAGAAAAGCUGGUGUGAUUCUACUAUGUUAGUAAACUUUGUGUCGUCUAAAAACAUAGUCCCUUUUAACCUUUUUCAUUCUUGUUUGCCACAAAAUCAUCAUCCUCGAGCUUCUUCAUCGAUGAGUCUUUAAUAAAUCCAACCCCCCCCCCCCCCUCAAGUUGGACGGAGAGGAACGAACACCUAACUUGUUCAAUAGGAAAUGAUGAGAAGUACAAGGUAAGGGCUUAGUAAACAAAUCUGCUACUUGGGAUGAAGAUGGAAGAAAAGAAAGAGAAAUCAAACCAGUGAGGUAUUGUUGACGAACGAAGUGACAAUCUAGGUCAACAUGUUUCGUCCGCUCAUGAAAGAUAGGAUUUUUAGCAAUAUGAAUUGUUGUUUGGCUGUCUGAAUGGAGAGAAAUUGGUAGUGCAGGAGGUAGAGACAGGUCGGAAAGGAGACAAACUAACCACGUCAGCUCAGCAACAACCCUUCUCAUUGAUUUGUACUCGGCUUCAGCGGAUGAAAGGGAAAGAGAAGGUUGUUUCUUUGAUUUCCAUGAAAUAGGACUGCCUCCAAGACAAAUAAAAAACCCACUAACAGAUCGUCUAGAAUCUAAGCAAGUAGCCUAAUCAGAAUCGCAAAAAGCGAGAGAGUUAAAGAAGGAGAGGAAUUGAGAAAAAUCCUUAAACCAGGAUCAGAAAGAAGAUAUCGAAGAACAUGGUGUGCAGCUGCAAAGUGUGCUUGAUGUGGAGACUACAUAUAUUGGCUAAGGUGCUGGAUCGAAAAAGAUAUAUCAGGCCUUGUAUGAGUUAAAAAAUUUAAUUGUCCAAUGAGCCGUCUAUAAACAGUGGGAUCCGGAAGAGGAGAACCCAUAUUUGCUUGCAAUCUUAGAGUGGGAUCCAGAGGAGAAGAGGCAUGUUUGAAUCCAAGGCAAUCAUAUUCAGAUAAUAGUUCCAGAAUGAACUUUCUUUGAGUUAGGAUCAAACCGUGUGGUUCUCGGAUGACUUCAAUGCCCAAAAAAUAGUGUAAAUCACCUAGAUCCUUGAUCUUAAAUUCUGAAUUAAGGAAAGAUUUCAAUGCUUCUAGUUCUGCCAUAUCAUUACUUGUGAGGAAAAUAUCAUCCACAUAUACGGCUAAUAUAGAUAUAGAGCUACCAGUGCAUUUAUAAAAGAGGGAAUAAUCAUUCAAUGAGUGUUGAAAACCUUUGAAACUCAAUGCAACAGUCAACCUUGUGUAUCAUUGUCGCGAGGCUUGUUUAAGGCCAUAUAAAGAUUUCUUUAGACGACAAACUUGAGUAGGAUCAGAAACCUUCAAACCUGCCGGGAACUUCAUAUAAACUUCUUCAUCCAACCCGCCAUGUAAAAAAGCGUUAUUUACAUCUAAUUGGUAAAGACCCCACCCUUUCUUAAUAGCGAUUGCCAAAACACACCUUAUGGUACUAAUCUUCACAACUGGACUGAAAGUUUCAGUAAAAUCAACACCUUCCUUUGGAACAUCACCCCUAACAACCAACCGAGCUUUAAGUCUCUCCACAGAACCGUUAGAGUUGAGUUUUACGUUGUAAACCCAUUUAUUGGGUAAAGCCUUCUUUCCCAGGGGCAAUGAUACGACUUCCCAGGUGUCAUUGGUGAUAAGAGCGUCUAAUUCUCUUGUCAUAGCCUCCUGUCAAUCUGAAUAUAAAAUGGCUUGGGAAAAACUGGUAGGUUCUUUAAUUUGUGAAAGAGAAUUGAUAUAUUGUUGAUUAGACGUGGACAAAACAUUAAAAGAAAAUGAUGUAACAGAGAUAGGAGAAGAUAAACAAGUAUCAGACACAUUACAAAAGUGUACACUAUUACAAAUGUAAUCUUCUAAAUAUGCAGGGGUCUUGAUUGAUAGGAGAGAUAGAAACCGAAGGUUGUGAAGGGAGAGUGGGUAUGGAAGGUACAUGAGAAAGUUGAUUAUGAGGAAACAAAAAAAUAGGGGAAGGAAAUGAUGUAACAUGAUAAUCAGUAUCAGGUGUAAUUAGUGAAUCUGUAAGAGGAAAAACAGAAACAUGAGGCUGAAUAGAAGAAAAAGGGUAUAUAUCUUCAUAGAAAACAACAUUUUUGGAAACAAAGCACUUUUGAGAAUGUAAACUAAGUAACUUAUACCCUUUUUUUCCAAAAAGAUAGCCAAGAAAUACACAAGGUUCAGCUCUAGGAUCCAAUUUAGAUCUACCCUGGGAAAGAGUAGAGGCAAAACCAAGACAACCAAAACAUUUCAGGUUGGAGUAGUUUGGAGGAUGACCAAAGAGUUUCUCAUAUGGUGUUUGAAAAGAUAAUAGUUUAGUCAGACAUCUAUUGAUUAAAUAAGUGGUUGUCAUAAGACAAUCCCCCCAAAAUUUCGAUGGAAGAUGAGAUUGAAAAAGCAAAGCUCUACAAACUUCCAAAAGAUGCCCAUGUUUCCUUUCAACCACACCAUUUUGUUGUGGUGUGGCAACACAAGAAGUGUGAUGAAUGAUGCCUUGUGUAGACAAAAAAUUAGAGGUUUCUAAACUUGAACCUAAUUCCCAAGCGUUAUCGGACCGAAUGACCUUAACAUUUUGUUGUGGUGUGGCAACACAAGAAGUGUGAUGAAUGAUGCCUUGUGUAGACAAAAAAUUAGAGGUUUCUAAACUUGAACCUAAUUCCCAAGCGUUAUCAGACCGAAUGACCUUAACUUUCUUAUUGAAUUGCCUUUCUAUCAUUGCAGGAAAAGAUUUGAGAAUAGAAAAAGCAUUACUUUUAGUGGUUAAUAAAAACGUCCAAGUUCCUCUACUAAAAUCAUCCACUAUGGUUAAAAAAUACUUAUAACCAUCAGAAGUAGGAGUUUGAUAAGGCCCCCAAGUAUCAAUGUGGAUUAAAUCAAAAAUCUGUCGAGACGAAAUAUGACUAAUAGGAAAAGGAAGUUUGUAUUGCUUUGCUAAUGGACAAAUAGAACAAGGAACAGAAAAUUUCGAACAAACUGAAAUAGGAAUGCCAUUGAUAUUCUGUAUAUUUGAUGCAGGCAUACGCCCCAACCUUACAUGCCAUAACUUGCUUUGAAUAACAGAAAGAGAAAUACAUGACAAACUGGAUUUAUCAUCCUUUAGGGAAUCUAAACUAGAGCUAGACUUAAAGCAGGAAUUGACAGAAUAAGAAGCAACUGGAGGCCUAUUCUUGAAGAUGUAGAGACCAUUCUGGCUUUCACCAAGGAGCAUUGGGCUCUUCAUUGAAGGGCCCUGCCUGAAACAAUAAGAAGGUGUGAAGAAUAAUAUAUUAGAAAGUUGUCGACACAACUGGUGUACAGACAAUAAAUUGAAAUGGAAACUAGGCACAUACAAAACAUUAUGAGUGGUGAAAUUUGAGAAUAGUUGGACAAAUCCUGAAUGAGAAACCUUAACUUUUUGUGAAUUAGGAAGCCUUACAAAAGUAAUCCUAGGCAAUGGUUUAAGAUCAAGAAAAAAUAUUUAUUGUAACUCAUAUGCUCAGUUGCACCUGAGUCUAUUAUCCUCGUCUCGUUAGUGAACGUUUUACCAUCAAUAGUGGAAUUUAGAGAGAAAUGAUUAGGGCUUAAAGGAAUACCAGCACAAUUGAUAGAAGCUAUGACAUCAAAAUUAUUGGCUUGAUCCUUAGUUUUCACCUGUUAAAGCAUCUGCAUGACCUAUGCCAAUUGCACCUGUGUGAGGAGUUUCUCAUGCUCUUCUGAUUCUACGCUAGUCAGGAAAGAAUCCCCAGAAAAUUCAUUAGAAAUCACAACAUUACUCUUAACAGAAUUGUGAAAUUUUUUUGACUUAGUAAAUGUAAAAUCAGCUGGAAAUCCAUGUAUCUUAUAACAUUUUUCAAUGCUAUGUCCUGUUUUCUUGCAAUAUCUGCAAACAAGAUUAGACUUCUUGUUAUCAUAAGUCCCUUUUUGUCCCUUGAAAUCAGUAGAAAAUGAUCGUGGACCAUUGUUAGCAAUGAAUGAAGAAGAUUCACCAGGAAACUUUAGUGUAUUCUGGACCUCCCUUUGCUUCUCCUCUUGCAUCAACAAUGCAUAAGCAUUUGGGAUAGAAGGGAGUGGUGAAAUCAUGAGAAUAUUACCUCUAGGUGCACAAUAAGAGUCAUUAAGUCCCAUUAAAAAUCGAACCAAGCGUUCAUCUUGCUUGGACUUAAUGUUCUUUUCCUUUGCUCCGCAAGAACAAGAACAAGAACAAUUACAUGGAAUGAAGAAAUCCAAAGCAUCCAAUUCAUCCCAAAGACGUUUCAUCUUUGUGUAAUAAGUUGCAAUAUAAGAGGAGCCCUGAACAAGGUCACUUAGUUCCUUUUGAAGCUAGAAAACCUUAGCACCUGAACUUUGUCCAAACCUAGCUUUUAAUUCUGCCCACAACUCUUUAGCGGUGGAAGAGUAUAGAACACUUUCAGAAUUUUCUCUAGAAAGAGAGUUCAAAAGCCAGGAAAUUACCAUGUUGUUUGCUCUCAACCAGGCAUUGUGCAGGUCUGUACCAACAACAGGUUCAUGAGUUGAUCCGUCAAUAAAACCCGACUUGUUUUUCGCAGUCAAGGCUAUGUGCAUGCCCCUCUUCCAUCCCCCAAAACCUUUGCCAUCAAAAGCCGUAUUAACUAACAACAUACCAGGAGAAUCGGAAUGAGAAAUACAAAAGGAUGAGAAGAGUUUAUGAGCAGAGUGGCCGCAUUAGUUCCAGCAAGAAUGGGAACUUGAGUCUCAGAAGAUGUGGGGACAUGAUCUCCCAUUGCAACAAAUUAAGAGCAGGAAUAAAACUGAAAAUACGAGGAAAGAUUUAAAACUUGAGCUCUGAUACCAUGAAAGAUUGCAAAAAUAUAUAAAAGAGAUGUGAUGAAUGUUUCAUAUAUUAAUCCUUUUGUUUAACACAUGUAUAUAUAGCAAAACUUGAAAUAAUAAACUACCCAACUAUCCUAUAUAUUAGCAACCUUAAACAGCAUACUAGUCCUAUAUACUAGCUACCUUAAACAGCAUAUCUGUAGUUACACGAAGUAAAAGUGGAAAAAACCACAAACUACCCAACUAUCUCCUAAUUGUUAGUUACCUUAAAUAACAAACUACUAUUUACAUGGAAGUAAAAAUAAAAAUAAGGAAUCUGUAAUUUCCAGAUGGAAAAACAAAACUACAACUUAAAAAAAAGAAAAAGAAAAGCUGGUGUGAUUCUACUAUGUUAGUAAACUUUGUGUCGUCUAAAAACAUAGUCCCUUUUAACCUUUUUCAUUCUUCUUUGCCACAAAAUCAUCAUCCUCGAGCUUCUUCAUCGAUGAGUCUUUAAUAAAUCCAACAUUAUACCUUAUAUUUGCUUUCCAUCGAGUUUUUACAGAGAUGCUACGGCUGAUUUUGAGUUUGACUCAGAACAUCCAUCCUCAGUUAAGUUAAUUUGUAUGGGCCAAGUGGUAUGGGGUUUUAACUUAAAAUAUAUUAUAUAUGGACUUGGCUCAUUAACCAUCAACUAAUAAAAAUUAAUUAUUUAAUAAAUACCCGUUAAAUAAAUAACCGUAGUUAAAUAAAUAGUUCAAAAUUCCCAACCAACUUCACAAACUGAUCAAAAGUGACUCAAGGCAACUACCGAGAUAGGUAAAACGGUAAUUUUGUAAAAAAAUCUAAAAAUGACUUUCCGGUUCAUUACAUUAUGAUAGACAUAAUACAUAAACAUGACCCUUAACUUGACUUGAGUGGACAACUAAUGCCCUCCAACUUUGAGUGUGCACAAGUAGACACUUAAACUUGUAUAACAUUAAACAAGUAGACACACGUGUCCUACAUGACAUAAUACAUGUAGGAUGACAUGUAGGACACAAAAUUACCAUGUAGGGUGCCAUGUAGGACGAAUGUGUCCAUUUGUUCAAUUUUAUACAAGUUUAAGUGUGUACUUGUGCACAUCCAAAGUUAAAAAUCAUAGUUGCCAGCUGACGUCAAGUUAAGGGUCAUGUAUAAGUAUUAUGUCAUUAUGAUACUUAAAAUGACAUUGGAUUUGAAUUCGUAUAUAUAACAAUGCUAUUUAUUUUAUAACUAUAUGGUAUUUGGUCUUAUUGAUCCAAUUAAUUCAAAUAUAUGUCACGUAGGAUCAUAUGCAAAUAGCAUAUUUACUGGAGGUAGGCUUAAGAAUCCAUCAACGAGAGAUGUAUCUAAUAAAUUGGAAUUAUCAAAUUGGUUUAGGGUUCCCCAAAACCUUUGGCAUUGGAGAAGCCAUUGCAUUCCCUAGUUUGACAUUUCCCCUGGCUUGAUUUAUCGAAAUUGAGUUUGAUAAUCCUAACUAUGAAAACAACACGAUGAACCUUUGUUUUCUUGUGAUUCUCAAGACCUACAAUUUGUUUGUAUUUGUUUCUAAUAUGAUAGGUGAAUAAGGAUGACCUGAGCAAAAGGUUCAGGUCCAAAGACACACGACUGGAUAAGAGAGUGGCGAGCGAAAUGGAAGGGAGGUGAGGGCGCGGGAUUUGUCUAUGUAACCUAGAUACAUGCGAAUCCACUUGGAUAGAGUAUAUCUAGAAUAAAUUAUGCCUAAUUUUGAGGAUACAUGUAUCUGGACAUACCAAAAUCUGGUAAGAUUCUAAUAUUACAAUAUAACAUGCAUUUAAGUAAUUAGCUCAUACACUAGUGAGAUUUCUGUAAGUUACCCUUAAAUACAUAAUUUUGGUCCAUGGGUUGACCCCAGCUCGGCCUAGAUCAAGCCUCAAAGGCCAAGGGCUUAUAUGAGUCGUGCUUAUAAGCCCUAGUUUUAAAUGAGCUUGAAAAAUUAUAUCCCAACCCUACCCCAAUAACAGAUUGGAUUGGGCUGACCCCAUGGGCUAAGCCCAUUUUGACAGCUCUACACACAACUCAGACCUAAAAUUCUUGUGAUUAGAGGUGAUGAAAUCAGUUAAUGAAAUCAUAAUUUGUCAAACAUGUUAAGUUUUAGACUAACUAUUGAUUAAGAAGGCAAGGUAAGUUAGGUUAACAUGUCAAAAUGAUUCACUAAUUCAUAAAUAAUUUAUUCUUAUAAUUUAUCAUUACCCGUAAAUCAUAAUUAAGAAAAGAAAGAGUUGAGUUUUACUUUUUCCAGAAAUUCUACCUUUUAGUUUAAAUUAGGCAUCUAAUUUUUAUUAUUUGAACAUGUAAUAAUUACUUUUCUCUUUUCUUGUGGAUAUGAUUAAUUAACUCGUGCUUUGUUUCUUGAUGCCCUAAAUAUUAAACAGAAAAUUUAAUGUACAUAAUAUUUAAAGUAACCUAGUUAAUAUGUUAGGGAAAAUGCACAAGUACCUCCCAACCUAUCCCCGAAAUUCCAAAGACACACUUAUACUAUACUAAGGUCCUAUUACCCCCUGAACUUAUUUUAUAAAUAAUUUUCUACCCCUUUUCGGCAUACGUGGCACUAUCAACUGAAAAAAUUGUCAACACGCGCUGGGCCCAGAAGAUAGUGUCACGUAGGCCGAAAAGGGGUAGAAAAUUAUUUAUAAAAUAAGUUCAGGGGGUAAUAGGACCUUAGUAUAGUAUAAGUGUGUCUCUGAGAUUUCGGGCAUAGGUUAGGGGGUACUUAUGCAUUUUCCCAAUAUGUUACUUUAAAGAUUACUUUCAACACUUUCUUUGUAGCCAAAUGAAUCUUAUAAAGUGGAAUUUAGGUGAGAGUUUGAAACCUAAAAAAUAAAAAGUAAUCAAAACAACAUAGAUAAUUAAAGUUGACAAAAUCUAAAUAUAGCACAUUUAUUUAAUGUAUCAUAUAAGUUUUAUUUUCGGAUCCAGCUUAAUAAUCAUGAUCUACAAACUUAUAUAUCGCAUUAAAUAAGUGUGAUAUAUGGGGAAAUAAAACAAACUCUUAAUAGUUACAUUUUUUCUUUUGCAAUUUAGGUUUAUACCUAUAUUAAUACCUUAAGUAUUACUUAUUUUUAUCAAUUGUGUAUUCUUUGGAAUUCUAAAAUAUUGAUUUGAGAAAGAGAAAUAUUUUAAGUAAAGAGCAGGACAAUAUAACUCAGGUUCGAUUUUAUCUUUUUAUUAGACUAAAAUUCCAUCAAUAAAUGUUGUAUUUUUUUUUAGAAUAACUUUGUGAUAGUGUAUCCUUUUUUUUAUGAACUUUUGCUUAUUUGAUAAUUAAAUUGCAUAAAGAAUUUGGAUAAUUUGAUAGUUACAACUUUUGGGAUUUUUAUGUUUAUAAGCAAAAAAAUAUAACUUAGAAAUCCAAAUUGUAUGUCCGAACAAAACAUCAUUCGUAUAAUAAUGAUUUCAUCUCAUGUGACUAAAUGGACCCUAAAAAUAUGAAGAUGUUCCUUUUUUUUUUUGGCCCUAGUUCUUACAUUUUAGUACUCAAAUUUCUUAUUCUUUGCUUAGUGAAGAAUUUCCAAGUCAAUGAAAUUAGGAGGCCUAAUAAAAAUUAGCCACGCAAAACAAUUGCCAAUUUGGCACGAAAUGGACGAUAGAGAUGGACUUUCCAAUCACAAUAAAAUAGUAUUUUUGCUCUCAUAGUUAUUACUAGUUAACUGUAAUUUUGAUAGUUUUUAUAUAUUAUAUAUAUAAACCUUUAUAUAGUAAUAUGUAAGGUUUAUAUUAACACUAGACUUGUAUUACUCCAUUUGUUUAAUUUUACUUAUCAUUAUUUGAAUUAACAUAUCUAUUAAGAAAAUAAUUAUUGAUAUACUAUGUAUUUUACCACACUAUCAAUAUUAAUUAAUGUCUAAUAUUGGUCUUGAAAUAGUGACAAAUAAAAAAAAAAAAAAUUUAAAAAUAAAAUAACAAGUAAAAGUGAACAAAGUAAGUAUCAAGUUAUAUUUGUGCUCACCCAUUAUAAUAUUUUUUUCAAAUUAUCAAGCCUAUAAAAGUUCAAUUAUAGUGACGGCUUGACUUACAAGUCAAGAGGCAAGAUUUUUGAAGAGAUGAAUCAAACAAAUAGAUUUGCGUAUAUGACACGGAACAAUAAUAGAGAUUUUUUUUUCUUUUGUACUUUUUGUUCCUUUUAAGGAGUAGUUUUUAUCUGUGAGAUAUUUAGUCUUAAAUUAGUUAGGAUGUACGUUUUUUAAAAUCACUUUCACACAACAAUUACGAUACUCCUUCAUUUCAUAUUAAUUAAAUUAUUGAGAUAUUUUUUAUUUUUCAAAUUAACUUAAUUGUUCAAUUUUCAAGAUUACUUUUAGAAUGUUUUUCCAAUUUUACCCUUCAUUAGUUAGUGUUGGAAUUAAUUAUUAAUUAAUGUUUAGUUAUUUUAAUAAUAAUUAAUAAGGGUAAAAAUGGAAAGUUAAGCCUAAUUUAUGUCUUAAUCUUCUUUUCUUAAAGGGUGUGAAACAUCUCAAUAAUUCAAUUAAUAUGAAAUGGAGGGAGUAUGUUUUAUUUAGAUUAUUUUUUGACUUAUACUGCCUUUAAUUAUGAAGUGAUAAUGCAUAGUUUAGUAAACGGUUUAACAAUUAAUAAUUCAUCAAUUUUGUGAAGAUUCACAAGCAAAAUAAUUAAUAUUUCAUAUUUUAAUUAAUUGAAGAUUAAAUACAAAUUACUACUCUCUCUGUUUAAGGACAUCUCAAAAUAAUAUAGUGGACAACUAUUAUUGGACGAAAGAAAUAGAUAAUGCGAGGACCAGUAUUAAAAUAAAAUUUUCAAUAAUUCGGAGACUUAAAACCACUAAUUUUCCACAAGAGAAUUUCUGUUAAACUCAUCACAUUUGAAAGUGUCUUCAAAUAAACACAUUCUCAAAUUGAACAUACACACACAUAAAAGUAAUAUGCAUUUCCUCAAGUUUUCCCCCCUUUUUGUCUUCCUUUACUUUUUAUCUGUUACUCAUGCUGCCACUUUUGACAUUACCAAUCGAUGCACCUACCCGGUCUGGGCCGCUGCCUCUCCUGGGGGAGGCAGACGACUCGACUUGGGCCAAACUUGGAACAUUAAUGUGAAUCCAGGAACAACCAUGGGUCGCAUUUGGGGUAGAACCAAUUGUAACUUUGAUGGUAGUGGUCGAGGCAAAUGCCAGACUGGAGAUUGUAAUGGGCGGCUAGAAUGUCAAGGUUUUGG
This 17335-nucleotide long non-coding RNA is filed under the name Solanum tuberosum (potato). Its description in RNAcentral is "long non-coding RNA (STUB_LNC011814)". Lineage: Eukaryota; Viridiplantae; Streptophyta; Magnoliopsida; Solanales; Solanaceae. The record is from RNAcentral.